CACCGCCCACGGGCCACGGGCCCACCCACCCCCAACGCAACGCUCCUCGUCGUCUCCUCUUGCUCCCCACCCCACCCCACCCCACCCGUCCUCCUCGCGGCGAGCCAUGGCGGCGCCGUUCGUCCGCCGCCCGACCGAUGACGGCACCAGCGGCACCAGUGCGAGCGCUCUCCUGGGGCGGCCUUAGAUGGGUACCUCGGACGACUCGAAGGGUGCUUCCUCUCCUCAUCUUCGCCGUGUCCAUCCCACCCGAUCGAUCUGUGUAGGCAUGAUGGGAAACUAUUCUAAACAUAUUUAUUUACGUGCCACUAUAAUGAUUAUAAUUUUUCUAAAAGAAUUUAAUAAGAUAAAUGUGAUAGACCUACUUUAACUAGCUGUAAUUUAAUUUGUUUUUUUUCUCGUUGGACUUGUAAAAGUUGAAUACAUGUUUAUGGAGUGAUAUAUCACAUUUUAAUCUAUCUUCUUAAUUGUUUCAUAACCAUUUAGAUAGCAAAUGAGGGGAUGCCCCUUUUGCAUGCUCCUGUGUGCUUUUCCGCCCUUAGGUUUGAGUGAUGCUUGUGUACUUGUGUUGCGUUUGCAUCGAUGGUUGUAUUGUUGAUUUGAACAUGGAAGGAAAAGUUUUAGCCUAGCUGCGCUUCAGCAUCUAGCACUCUCGUUGCCUUCAGAACUUUGCCACAUUCUAUUUUCCGUAUUUCUAGGUUCUCUAGAUGGAUUUGAUCGUUUGUGAAAGCUUUUAACUGUUUAAUUCCCAGGUCCAUGAAUUACCAACUUAUCUUAUCUAGAGAUUGCAAGAUUUGAGGCUUCCUUGCCUUCGAUAAAUGCGACAAAUGUUGUGAUUAUCCUCUAUUACAUUUACGCCUCCAAGUGUGACUGUUUGUGAUGUGUAGUCAGGUAGUAAUCUGAACAAAUGUUUUCAAGUUGCAAAGUACAGGUUUACAUAGACGACCCAGUGAGUGUAUAGGUGCACAUGACUCAGUGAGGAUAUUGCACAUUACACAUAUUUGUUACUUUUCUUUUCGUGUUAUAGGUAGUUAAUCCGUCCAUUCUAUUCCUCAAUGAGAUGACGUUUCUGUGUUUUUCUUUAGGAGAAGAUAUUAUAAAGAGCCUUGAUAUGGGGAAAGGAAAGGCCCGAGAUGCAGUCUUAGCUCGUAAAAAGGAUGGGAUUGGGUUGCUGCAUGCCGCAGCAUGCCAGGGCCAUCUGACUGUUUGCAAGUUCUUGAUGGAGGAAUUGGGGGGGUUGCCAUGUCUACGUUUGGUAGUAUGAUGUGAAGUAUACCAAUGUGCUGUUUAUCACAUAUGUUUAACACCGUUUAUGGCCUGUGCUGAGUCUGGUGAUGUUCCUACUGUGAAGUAUUUUCUUGAUCAUGGUGGUGAUGUAACAAAAUCAGAUGAUAAAGGAUGCACACAGUUCUCCACCAUGCUGCUGGCACAGAUCCCCCUCAAUAUCCAGUUCAUUCUUAUAUAUAUUACCAAUUGUAUUGUUGUACAAGGCUCUAUAAUACUGCAAUACUAUUAAUGGAGUAUGUUUCAAUCACAGCUUCACCGUAAUCAUUUCUUAUGUCCUUGUAUUUAUAGCAAACGCCUGCAAAUAAACCAUUUCUCUCCUCCUUUAUUAAUGAAAAGAGGAGUCCUCCUGCCCUUCGAAAAAAAAGGUAAUCAUUUCUUAUGUGGCAAUCUAGAUACCUUUAGUUUCUAUAUAUCACCACUCAAAGUUAUAUAAGUUUGCUCUAUUUAUACUUGAUCACAUGUAAUCUGUUCCAAGUUGUUUAUUGUAAUGGUCAUUGUUUAUUCACAUAACCCAAUUUCUAUAGUAUCUCUCUCCCAGGAUUUAUAGCUCAUCUCAUUCACGCUCAGGAUGCUGUAAGGUAACAGAGUUCUUGCUUUCAAAAGGAAUACCUAUUGACAUAGACGGCGAUUAUUAUACAUCUUGACCUUUAGUAAUACUCCUAAGUCUUAAGAUUACCAUUUGGCAUGCUCUAAGUAAGGCUUGGGUGAUGAUUUCGGCGGAAAGAGUGAAAACUUGGGCGUUCAAUUCAUGACACUAAUAAAACCUAUCCUGCUCUAUGAGCUAUUCAACUCUAAAUGAUUGAAAUGCUUUUGGAUUAUCAUGUCAUUGUUUGUACCUUCAGUAACUUCAUUGCCGACCUUCUCAUUUUAUAUUGACAUCACUAAAUGUGCAUUAAAAUCUCUUCCAAUGCGGCAACUCCAUCUUGGCUUCAUGAACUCUGAACUCGUUUUUAAGAAUUGGCAAACGAUGAUCAGAAAAAAAAAAGUUAAAGUAUUGUAUUUCUUUCCUUUUUCUUUCACAUAUUCUGCUUUUAGCCUAACGUAAUUGCCAACAAUGGAGCCUGUAGUACCCUGAUAAGUGCUCUUGACUGCUGUUCGUUGAAGUGCAUGAAGCUACUCAUAAAGGCCAGUGUGUUAUCGAGUCUGUAUUUGUUCAACUACUGCUGUGCUUUUAUUUUGCUAAUCAAAACAUGAUCCACAAUGCUUUUCAUGAUCUCAGGCUGGUGCUGAUGUUAAUAACAAGGGUACAGGUAUAACUCCCUUAAUGUUUGCCGCGUUGCAAGGGUGUUAUACUUACUUCAUCAAGAUUCUCCUGGAGACUGGAGCAAUCCCUAAUAUUCCCAAUGUUUUGGGUUGGUUGCCAGUAGAGCAUGUUGCAUCAUGUGAUUGCAGGGAAGGAGUUGAAAUGCUAUUUCCAUUCACAUCCCCAAAUUCCAAAUGUCCCAAACUGGAGUGUUGAUGGAAUAAUUUCUCAUGCAAAGGUCAACCAUACAAAGCCAACGACUCGUGGACCAACUGCAGUUCUGUACGCAAACAAGAGCAUUUGUAGAUUGCUCAUGGGUGAUGGUGAAGGUGCUCUGUCUGAUGGAGAUGCCGAAUGAUGCAGCCUAACUGGGCAAAAGCUCACAUGCUACUCAAGGAGUAGAAGCAUGCAUGCGAUGCUCACUUGGAUACGCAAAAAUUGGAUCCUGGGAGCGUUGAGAUUGAGAGGGAACUUAGGUAUCAUCUUCUGUUUCUCUUGAGCAUGUUUUCCAAUCACAAAUGCGGUUGUGCACGGAACAUGACUGUUAUUAUUAAGAUGACGUUGUGGCCACAUUUACUGGAGCUGAACACUGAAACUUUUCUUUUUGGUUUUAUAUGCCUUUCUUCCAUCUUUGAGUUGAUGAUGGCAACGUGCAUUGGCUGCAUGCAUUUAACUGACAUUUAACUGCAUGGCAAUCUGAUUUGGCUGGCAUAUGCAAAUCCUGCUCGUUUGUCUUAAAGGAGAAAGGCAGCUCAUUAUUCAGACAUUUCAGUGCCCAAUGAGUUCCGACAUUGUCAUUUUCACCCAUUUUUCUCGCAUGAAGGAAAAUGAGGGAACCGUGGGCGUCAUUGUCUGUUAUCAUUUUGACUUUGCUUUAAUCAUUAAGUUUUCAUGACUAGAACGAUUCUAAUGAAUGUUGGCAUGUUGCUAUGUAAAACAUUGGAAAUGAAUGACAGAAUUGCUAGUGUUCAUUUUAACAUA
Non-coding RNA from Oryza sativa Japonica Group (Japanese rice), 3511 nucleotides. The record is from RefSeq and is a predicted model, not a curated record. NCBI's taxonomy places the organism in Eukaryota, Viridiplantae, Streptophyta, Magnoliopsida, Poales, Poaceae.